Molecule: microRNA, 21 nt
Filed under: Oryza sativa (Asian cultivated rice)
Lineage: Eukaryota; Viridiplantae; Streptophyta; Magnoliopsida; Poales; Poaceae
Description: osa-miR5496
Source: miRBase by way of RNAcentral
CCAGCCGGUGGCAUAGUUCUC